Oryza rufipogon (brownbeard rice) is the source of this 207-nucleotide microRNA precursor. It matches the Rfam family "MIR812 microRNA precursor family". NCBI's taxonomy places the organism in Eukaryota, Viridiplantae, Streptophyta, Magnoliopsida, Poales, Poaceae. The record is from Rfam.
AAAAAAAUAAACCCUAAGUUUCUGUGUCCAACGUUUGACUGUCUGUCUUAUAUGAAAUUUUUUUAUAAUUAGUAUUUUCAUUAUUAUUAGAUGAUAAAACAUGAUUAAUACUUUAUGCAUGACUUGUCUUUUUAAUUUUUUUCAUAAUUUUUUCAAAUAAGACGGUCGGUCAAACGUUGGACACGGAAACCCAUGGUUUAUCUUUUU